Molecule: long non-coding RNA, 678 nt
Organism: Passer montanus (Eurasian tree sparrow)
Lineage: Eukaryota; Metazoa; Chordata; Aves; Passeriformes; Passeridae
Exons: 3
Source: RefSeq, a predicted model, not a curated record
GGAUGAAUCACAUCUCCGUACACAGGAUAUAAAACUGGCUCCGGAGUUCUACAGCCACAGGAAGCGCAGAGACUGCAGGGGAGGAGAAUUGCUUCCCUGGCUCCUGCAGCUUGGACAUCAGCAUGAAGCAAUCAGGAGGGUAAUCAAGGAGAAAGGAAAUAAUCUUUCUGGCCCCACCAGCAACUACUUACAGUGGAAAGCAACAGCGGGAAGCCAUUAAUAGGUGGUUGUUGAUGGUGUUAUCAAAAUGUAUUAGUAAGAGAAAGGCUAAAAGCUGUCCACUGAUCUUUUUAUGAUGACUCUAUGACAAAAAAGCUUCCAAACCAUUCAGAGAACACUGAACUCCCUACCUACCUUUACAGGUAUUUCUUUCCCACUGUCUUUGGGAGCAGGAAGCUCCAAGUGGUAAAAACCCCAAGUACACAAAAGCAGGAGUACUGAAGGAAUGUUAGAAGGGCAGAGUGACUGAUGCUGUCAUCUGAUGGAUUCAUUGCCCAGAUUGAUGCGUUUAUAUAAAAACCUGCAGUGCUGUUCACAGACCCUCAGUGGUGCACCAGUGGAAUUCGUGAGAUAGCAGCUGGGACAAUCACUUCCAGUUCAAUAAAUCUUUGUUUUCCUUUGCUUUGCUAAGUUGCAAAAAGUCAUUGGUUCAAGGUCAAUUUCUGUGUGCUUCUUAAA